RNAcentral lists this ribosomal RNA (253 nucleotides) under uncultured bacterium. RNAcentral describes it as "partial 16S ribosomal RNA". It matches the Rfam family "Bacterial small subunit ribosomal RNA", at positions 524 to 776 of the family's 1533-position model. The record is from RNAcentral.
UACGAAGGGGGCUAGCGUUGCUCGGAAUCACUGGGCGUAAAGGGUGCGUAGGCGGGUUCUUAAGUCAGGGGUGAAAUCCUGGAGCUCAACUCCAGAACUGCCUUUGAUACUGAGAGUCUUGAGUUCGGGAGAGGUGAGUGGAACUGCGAGUGUAGAGGUGAAAUUCGUAGAUAUUCGCAAGAACACCAGUGGCGAAGGCGGCUCACUGGCCCGGUACUGACGCUGAGGAGCGAAAGCAUGGGGAGCGAACAGG